CCUCGCGCGAGCGGAGGAGUGCGCCGCGGCCAGCCGGGCUGAGUCUGGAACGCUGGUCUGCUCUGUGGGAAGCUAGCUGCCAAGCUGCAAAUAGCCCUACGGAAAGCCUCACACCACAGGGAACUGAGGUCUCUGACCAACAGCCAGGGGGGACUCCAGGACUGGCUGACAGUUGGAUUGAACUUGUAAGACCCUGUGCCAGAGGACCUAGCUAAGCUGAUGCACAGAAAUGUUUCAUAUGAUGGAAGAUGUGCUAAAAUGAAAUCAUCAUUUAGUUUGGAAACAGCCUCAAUGUCCAUCAACAGGAAAAUAGACUAUGUAAAGCCAUCCUACAAAAUCCUCUGCAACUGGGGCAAGGUCUCGAAGACAAAUUGCUCUGCAGAAAAAACAAGCUGCAACCAAGAAACCCGCCAAAAAUCCCAUUUAUGUAUAAAGAACCAAGCCAAGCAAAACUACUAUUUCUUUGCAUGCCCAAAAAGGGCAUAGAGAGGCCUAGAAGGAGCCAGUGAACUGAUGACAGUGAUGGUUUCUAGGGAGGGGAGUAUGAAGGGAUGUGGGG
Neomonachus schauinslandi (Hawaiian monk seal) is the source of this 559-nucleotide long non-coding RNA. RefSeq lists it as uncharacterized. Lineage: Eukaryota; Metazoa; Chordata; Mammalia; Carnivora; Phocidae. The transcript is spliced from 3 exons. The record is from RefSeq and is a predicted model, not a curated record.